This 253-nucleotide ribosomal RNA is filed under the name uncultured bacterium. RNAcentral's name for it is "partial 16S ribosomal RNA". It matches the Rfam family "Bacterial small subunit ribosomal RNA", at positions 524 to 776 of the family's 1533-position model. The record is from RNAcentral.
UACGUAGGGUGCAAGCGUUGUCCGGAAUUAUUGGGCGUAAAGGGCGCGUAGGCGGCAUGGCAAGUGGAUGGUGAAAUCCCUCGGCUUAACCGAGGAACUGCCGUCCAAACUGCUUCGCUUGAGACCGGGAGAGGUGAGUGGAAUUCCCAGUGUAGCGGUGAAAUGCGUAGAUAUUGGGAGGAACACCAGUGGCGAAGGCGGCUCACUGGACCGGUACUGACGCUGAUGCGCGAAAGCGUGGGGAGCAAACGGG